Molecule: ribosomal RNA, 406 nt
Filed under: uncultured bacterium
Lineage: Bacteria
Description: bacterial SSU rRNA
Rfam family: Bacterial small subunit ribosomal RNA
Source: RNAcentral
CAACGAGCGCAACCCUUGUCUCUAGUUGCUAACGAAAGGGCACUCUAGAGAGACUGCCGGUGACAAACCGGAGGAAGGUGGGGAUGACGUCAAGUCCUCAUGGCCCUUAUGGGUAGGGCUUCACACGUCAUACAAUGGUGCAUACAGAGGGUUGCCAAGCCGCGAGGUGGAGCUAAUCCCAGAAAAUGCAUCGUAGUCCGGAUCGUAGUCUGCAACUCGACUACGUGAAGCUGGAAUCGCUAGUAAUCGCGGAUCAGCAUGCCGCGGUGAAUACGUUCCCGGGUCUUGUACACACCGCCCGUCACACCAUGGGAGUGGGCUUUACCAGAAGUAGUUAGCCUAACCGCAAGGAGGGCGAUUACCACGGUAGGGUUCAUGACUGGGGUGAAGUCGUAACAAGGUAACC